AGUCUACCUCAUACCACCCUGAAUGCGCCCAAUCUCAUCUGAUCUCGGAAGCUAAGCAGGGUCAGGCCUGGUUAGUACUUGGAUGGGAGAGGCUGAAAUCAGCAGGAUUA
RNAcentral lists this ribosomal RNA (110 nucleotides) under Castor canadensis (American beaver). The record is from RNAcentral. Lineage: Eukaryota; Metazoa; Chordata; Mammalia; Rodentia; Castoridae.